CCGGAUUCUAUCCUCGGCAUCUAUGACUGUUAUUUCCAAGGUUUCCAGUUUAUUCUUGUAACUUUCCAUCUGUGCUUUAUUUGCCAUUAGUUCUUCUUUUAAAUUUCUUAGAUGGUACUGAUGGGAGGUCUUUUUCUUGCUCUGUAGAGCUAUUGACUUCUGAGCUCUGGGAUAGUUUUAUCUGCCCAGUAGAUCUUCUAGAAUGUGGGG
Molecule: non-coding RNA, 210 nt
Organism: Pelobates cultripes (western spadefoot toad)
Lineage: Eukaryota; Metazoa; Chordata; Amphibia; Anura; Pelobatidae
Source: the annotation of a GenBank genome assembly